RNAcentral lists this ribosomal RNA (460 nucleotides) under uncultured bacterium. RNAcentral describes it as "partial 16S ribosomal RNA". It matches the Rfam family "Bacterial small subunit ribosomal RNA", at positions 338 to 795 of the family's 1533-position model. The record is from RNAcentral.
CCUACGGGAGGCAGCAGUGAGGAAUAUUGGUCAAUGGGCGCAAGCCUGAACCAGCCAAGUCGCGUGAGGGAUGACGGUCCUAUGGAUUGUAAACCUCUUUUGUCGGGGAGCAACGCCCGCCACGUGUGGCGGGACUGAGAGUACCCGAAGAAAAAGCAUCGGCUAACUCCGUGCCAGCAGCCGCGGUAAUACGGAGGAUGCGAGCGUUAUCCGGAUUUAUUGGGUUUACAGGGUGCGUAGGCGGAACGUUAAGUCAGUGGUCAAAUGUCGGGGCUCAACACCUGCCUGCCGUUGAAACUGGUGCUCUUGAGUGAACGAGAAGUAUGCGGAAUGCGUGGUGUAGCGGUGAAAUGCAUAGAUAUCACGCAGAACUCCGAUUGCGAAGGCAGCAUGCCGGCGCUCAACUGACGCUGAGGCACGAAAGCGUGGGGAUCGAACAGGAUUAGAUACCCGUGUAGUC